CAACCCUCAAGCCCCCGGGCUUGGUGUUGGGGAUCGGCGAUAGUCGCCGUCCCCCAAAUCUAGUGGCGGUCUCGCUGUAGCCUCCAUUGCGUAGUAGCUAACACCUCGCAACUGGAACGCGGCGCGGCCAAGCCGUUAAACCCCCAACUUCUGAA
This 155-nucleotide unclassified non-coding RNA is filed under the name uncultured Fusarium. RNAcentral describes it as "sequence contains ITS2". The record is from RNAcentral. Lineage: Eukaryota; Fungi; Ascomycota; Sordariomycetes; Hypocreales; Nectriaceae.